UUGACCUCAAAUCAGGUGGGACUACCCGCUGAACUUAAGCAUAUCAAUAAGCGGAGGAAAAGAAACUAACAAGGAUUCCCCUAGUAACUGCGAGUGAAGCGGGAAAAGCUCAAAUUUAAAAUCUGGCGGCUUCGUCGUCCGAGUUGUAAUUUAGAGAAGCGUUUUCCGCGCCGGACCGUGUACAAGUCUCCUGGAACGGAGCGUCAUAGAGGGUGAGAAUCCCGUCUUUGACACGGACCCCGGUGCUCUGUGAUACGCUCUCGAAGAGUCGAGUUGUUUGGGAAUGCAGCUCAAAAUGGGUGGUGAACUCCAUCUAAAGCUAAAUAUUGGCGAGAGACCGAUAGCGAACAAGUACCGUGAGGGAAAGAUGAAAAGCACUUUGGAAAGAGAGUGAAACAGUACGUGAAAUUGCUGAAAGGGAAACGCUUGAAGUCAGUCGCGUCCGCCGGGAUUCAGCCGCAUGGUGUACUUUCCGGUGGACGGGCCAGCAUCACUUUUGACCGCCGGAAAAGGGCGGAGGGAAUGUGGCACCUUCGGGUGUGUUAUAGCCCUUCGUCGUAUACGGUGGUCGGGAGUGAGGACCGCCUUUGUAGGAUGCUGGCGUAAUGGCUUUAAACGACCCGUCUUGAAACACGGACCAAGGAGUCUAACAUGCCCGCGAGUGUUCGGGUGGAAAACCCGU
Molecule: ribosomal RNA, 682 nt
Filed under: Vararia callichroa
Lineage: Eukaryota; Fungi; Basidiomycota; Agaricomycetes; Russulales; Lachnocladiaceae
Description: LSU rRNA
Rfam family: Eukaryotic large subunit ribosomal RNA
Source: RNAcentral